This 589-nucleotide long non-coding RNA is filed under the name Brassica rapa (field mustard). RNAcentral describes it as "long non-coding RNA (BRAP_LNC003784)". Lineage: Eukaryota; Viridiplantae; Streptophyta; Magnoliopsida; Brassicales; Brassicaceae. The record is from RNAcentral.
GUAGAUGUUUGGGACAUGAAGCUCCUUAAUAAUUUACUCGAAAAUCAAAUUUCUAUUAAAGGUGUGUUAUCCGAUGGAGGGGACUGAGGAGUUUGAGUUCCAUAAAGAGUUCCAUUUCGAAAAAAAAUGUUUCCAGCUCAAAGCGCUUAAGUGAGUGUUAUCCUCCUGUAAGCUCAUACAUGCUAUGAUGACUAAACAGUCAGUCUCCAAGAAUAUAUGUUAUGUGAUCAAUGGUUGGUGGACACCCUCUUAGAUUUUGGACACUACUAUCUCUAAACGUUAUAUGUUUCCAAGCAAACAAUUGAACAUUAUUCGACGAGAAUCAUAGUUGUUUGGCAAUUAGUUUUUGGAUUUCGUUGACAGGUUGUGUUCUUGAUAAUGACGUCAAACUGCAUACAACUAUGGUGGGAUGCUUAACAUGGGAGAAGGAUUGAAUGAGAUUAAUGUACAUAUGAUAAUGAAUUGAUGGAGUAAAAUUGUUGAUCACAACUUUCAUGUGAUGUGUGUAGAUGUGUAUUCACCUUGUAGACAAUAAAAAAGAGAUCAUUGUAUAUUGAAUGUAUGUAGAAAACAAUGAGGUUAAGGUUAG